Molecule: ribosomal RNA, 1077 nt
Filed under: uncultured beta proteobacterium
Lineage: Bacteria; Pseudomonadati; Pseudomonadota; Betaproteobacteria
Description: bacterial SSU rRNA
Rfam family: Bacterial small subunit ribosomal RNA
Source: RNAcentral
UCGGCGGGGAAGAAAUCGCAUGGGUUAAUACCCUGUGCGGAUGACGGUACCGGCAUAAGAAGCACCGGCUAACUACGUGCCAGCAGCCGCGGUAAUACGUAGGGUGCGAGCGUUAAUCGGAAUUACUGGGCGUAAAGCGUGCGCAGGCGGUUUGUUAAGAUAGGCGUGAAAUCCCCGGGCCCAACCUGGGAACUGCGCUUAUGACUGGCAAGCUAGAGUACGGCAGAGGGGGGUGGAAUUCCACGUGUAGCAGUGAAAUGCGUAGAGAUGUGGAGGAACACCAAUGGCGAAGGCAGCCCCCUGGGUCGAUACUGACGCUCAUGCACGAAAGCGUGGGUAGCAAACAGGAUUAGAUACCCUGGUAGUCCACGCCCUAAACGAUGUCAACUAGGUGUUGGACGGGUAAGACCAUUUAGUACCGGAGCUAACGCGUGAAGUUGACCGCCUGGGGAGUACGGCCGCAAGGUUAAAACUCAAAGGAAUUGACGGGGACCCGCACAAGCGGUGGAUGAUGUGGAUUAAUUCGAUGCAACGCGAAAAACCUUACCUACCCCUGACAUGUCCAGGAGCCUGAAGAGAUUUGGGUGUGCCCGAAAGGGAGCUGGAACACAGGUGCUGCAUGGCUGUCGUCAGCUCGUGUCGUGAGAUGUUGGGUUAAGUCCCGCAACGAGCGCAACCCUUGUCGUUAAUUGCCAUCAUUUAGUUGGGCACUUUAACGAGACUGCCGGUGACAAACCGGAGGAAGGUGGGGAUGACGUCAAGUCCUCAUGGCCCUUAUGGGUAGGGCUUCACACGUCAUACAAUGGUCGGUACAAAGGGUUGCCAAGCCGCGAGGUGGAGCCAAUCCCAGAAAGCCGAUCGUAGUCCGGAUUGCAGGCUGCAACUCGCCUGCAUGAAGUCGGAAUCGCUAGUAAUCGUGGAUCAGCAUGUCACGGUGAAUACGUUCCCGGGUCUUGUACACACCGCCCGUCACACCAUGGGAGCGGGUUCCGCCAGAAGUAGGUAGCCUAACCGCAAGGGGGGCGCUUACCACGGCGGGGUUCGUGACUGGGGUGAAGUCGUAACAAGGUAGCCGUA